Molecule: long non-coding RNA, 4185 nt
Filed under: Nicotiana tabacum (common tobacco)
Lineage: Eukaryota; Viridiplantae; Streptophyta; Magnoliopsida; Solanales; Solanaceae
Description: long non-coding RNA (NTAB_LNC014423)
Source: RNAcentral
AUGGAAACAUACAUUCUUCUUUACCAAAUUACCGAGUUUGAAUAAUACAUAAAGCGAAGUAAUAAUAGUAACAGGUACAACUGUGAACAUCCACUAGGAACCCCCAAAACCUAGUGCCACAAUUGCAUGAGCAUCUACUAGGAAAUAUCAUACUACUACAACAUAUGUCUGGAAUAUAUAAUAGACAGGAUAAAUAAAUGAAUAAGAGGGACUCUGUAUACUGUAGAUCGUAACAUAGAAUGCAGCUCACCACAAAGUCUCCUUAGCAGUUGUGCCUAUACACUAAGAUAACCACCAAAUGUAUCUGUCUCAAUAGCUGCACAAUUAGUACAGAAGUGUAGUAUAAGUAAGUAAAUCAACAGUACCCAGUAAGUAUCUAGCCUAACCCCGAAGAAGUAGUGAUGAGGGAUCGAUAUUGAUACUAACUAGUGGUCCAAUAAAUCAAGUAUAAUAAAAGUAGACAGGUACGAAGCAUGGCAAGUAUAACAAUGAGAGGAAAUAUAUGUACAUAACACGAUCCGCAAUAGAAGAAUAAAUACGAAGUCCUUAAUAACCGGACACUACCUCGAAUGAAAUCCAUAACGGUCAACACCAGAUAAAAUGUCACAUCUAAAUUCAGGAAAACUCAUAGGUACACUGACUCCUUAUAAAAAAUUAUGCACAUUUCUGCCGAGCUGAACGACCUGAUCCCAUAAGAGUGUUUCAUAGAACUACCAAGGCGAAUGACCUGAUCCCAUAGGAGUGUGUUAGACCCAAUCCCAUAAGAGUGUGUUACAUAAUCCUGCCGAGGCGAACAACUUGAUCACAUAAGAAUAUGAUAUAUGAUACUGCUGAGGUGAACAGUAUUAUCCCAUAAGAAUAUGUACUUUGCCGAUACGAAUGGCCCGAUCCUAUAAGAGUGUGAUACAUUAUACUACCGAGGCGAACAACCUGAUCACAUAUGAAUAUUGAUGAGGAAUUCUGCCCGAACCCAUUAGAAUAUGAAACUUUGACGGGUCACUGGCCCCACUCACGAAUAUACGUGUGAGUUAUAAAAUGUAAGAAAAUUUUCGAACAAAUAUGCACAAUGCGGAAGAAAUUCGUAAAAAAGGAAGUAUAAUGUCCCCCACAAAUUUAGUAUCUCGUCAAUUAUCUAAAAUAACAAGUUUGAUACUCUACGCGAGUCUAGUCUCAGUCUAAAUUUAAAUUAAAGCAUUUAAACAGGCAAGAACAACUCAAACAGUACAAUUAAAGCGUGGCGUAAGUCUAAGUCUACCUGGACAUAAUUAGGAAUUCUAGCAUACGCAUGGAUACUCGUCACAUCAAACGUGCGUAGCUCCCACAAAAUGUAGCACAUAACAAAUAUAACACCUACGGGAUAAAUUCCCCCUCACAAGGUUAGACAGGAGACUUAACUCGCUCCAAAAUUUGAUAACCGGUUCCAACGCCUCUCUAACACCUCAAACCAAUGCCAAACAUUUCGAAAUUAGUCAAAGAAUGUGAAAACCAAUCAAAAUAUAAUCAAAGACUCAUAAUUUAAUCAAUUAGAAAUAAUUCACAUCUCAACUCGAAAAGUCAACAAAGUCAACCUUCGGGCCCACGCCCGAAUUCCAAAAAUUCUCGAAGAUAAAUAUCACUCAUAGCACUACGAACUCAAAUAUAUAAUUUAUUCCUAAUUUCAUGUCCAAUUUUGUGGUCAAAAUUCAAAAUACUAUUUCUAGGGUUUCUUCCAAAUUUCCACAAUUUCAACCAAUUUUCAUGUUAAAAUUCAUAUAUAAUCCAUGUAUUUAACUUACAAUAAGUGAGAACCACUUACCUCAUGAUAGCUUAUGAAAAUGGCUCCCCCAAAUCGCCUUAGCAAAAGAGAAAUGAGUUGAAAUGAGCAAAUUCCUGAUUUGCAACUUAUGUUUUGCCUAGAACAUUCCUCUUCGCGAUCACAAAAGAACCCUCGCGAUCGCGAAGGCCAACCAACCUCGCCCAGGGAAACCUUUUACGUGGACGCGAGACUCCACUCGCGAUCGCGAGCCACUGCCUGAACAGGCUACGCGAACGUGAAAACGAACACGAGCCCAUGUCCGUGAAUGUAAAGGCCAAACAUUCCAGACAAAUGCCUUAUGCAAUCACAAAUAGCUCCCAGCGAUCGUGAAGAGAAACCCUACCAGGCCACCUCGCUAACGCUUCGUGUUCGUGACCCUUACCAUACGAACGCGAUGAACAACAAGACCAAGAAUCGCGAUUUCGAUCCCUCAGUUGCAAUCGCGAAGAACGAUUCUCCCAGCUCCCAAACAACGCUCAGUGAUCGCGAGCCUUUCUCCAUGAUCGCAAAGAACACCCCUGACACUAGAAACUAACAAUAGCAAUACAAGGAGAAAUGGUCUUAAACCACCCCGAAUCAUACCCGAGGCCCUCGGGACCCCGUCCAGUCCUACCAACCAAUCCUAAUACCUUAUCCAAAUUUAUACAAAGGCUCAAAACGCCACGAAUAACAUCAAAAUCACGAAUCGAUGAUAUCCUUCUUUUAACUUUCAAACAUUCAAACUUCGUCGAAUGCGUCCGAGUCACACUUGGACAAUCCGGAUCACCACCAAACUUCACACAUAAGUUCCAAACAGUAAAACGAACCUAUCUAAGGUCCCGAAACACCAUCAAGAGUCCGGUAAUACCAAAGUGCAAUCUAAGUCAAACUUAGCAAAUUUCAAACCAAAAUACAAACUUAUAGGAACCUUCAAAUCCUAAUUCCGAGAUUGUUUACUCAAAAAUAACACCUUGGUCAAUUCUUCCAACUUAAAGCUUACGAAUUGAGAAUUAUCCUUCCAAAUCAACUACGAACUUCUCAAAAAUGAAAACCAACUACACGUGCAAGUAAUAAUACAUGAAGUGAAUCUACUCAAGGUCUCAAGCCAUCAAACAAUAUGCUAUAUCUCAAAACGAUUGGUCGGGUCGUUACAUAGAAGGUCCAGUUAGUUGUGAUCCCUUAUCAUUCUGUCCAAUAUCCUUGUUCAAUACCUCAAAAGAGUUUGAGGUGAUAGACAUACUCCCCUCCAUAGCUGGUGAUUUAUGUGUAGGUGAUGUUACCCUACUAUUUACUUCUUUCCUUUUGUGUUUUCCUUCAAUCCUGUCAUCAGCCUUCUUAAUUUGUUAGGUCUGACUCAUUUGUGGUUUCUUCUCAUGUGGUUGUGGUUGUUUCACUUGCCCUCCCAAUUUCUGAGUUGCUUUUUGUUUCUUAAUCCAUGCCUCAUCCCUCUGUUGCCUUCUACAAUCUACUAACUCAUGUCCAAAGUUCUUACAUCUGGUACACAUCACUGGCUUCCAUUCAUAUUCCGCCAAAUGUUCAAUGAUCUUCCCAUGUUCAUUUUCGAACAUUAUCCUUGAGGGAAAUAUUUUAUUCAGUGGCUUUUCCAUAAGGACUCUUGCAUAGGUCAUCCUUUCCCUUUGUGAUGUAGCUCUAUCAGCUUAGGGGAUUCCCAAUCAUCCUAGAUUUCUCAGCUACGACACUAUUUUACAUCCAAACCAACUAGUCUAAUGCAAAUAGUAACCUUGUCUACCUUCUCUUUUGUGACUUCAGUAUCCGGCCUCCAUGGCUUAAACACACUAGGCUUUCGAUCAAACAUCUGUACAUAUGCUUCCACUGCUUUCCCUCUGUCUUCAAUAUUUUGGAAUCGCUCUAGGAAUACCCCUCUAUUCACUUAAGCUACCUUGUCAAUUCUCACCACCCCCCCCCCCUCUUCCAGAUUCGUUUGAAAUACCCCUCCAUCUAUUGGAGCUAAUCCCUUAACAGAAUAAGGGUUUGAGGUUUAAGGUUUACCUGAAAGAUGUUCGCCUGCAAUUUCCUCCUCAACUAGAUCUGCCCACGAUACUUUACCAGAAUUCAUCUGCUCUGUUGAUGAUUCGCUCGUAUUCCCGACCAGAAUUCCCAUUGGUAGGCUCGUUGUCAAUCGAUGAACCAUAUUUGACGGAAUAAUCCCUUGCCUAUACAUUCACACUUUUAGUUUUCCGAUCAUCCACAGAUUGCGGUAUUGUUUUCUUCGCCACAUUCAUAGUAGUGUUACCCCCUUGCAAUUGUUGCUCCCCCCCUCCAGCUAAGGUUGUGCUUUAGCCCCCAAUCUUUACCAAGUGUUAUUUUAUCUCAUAUUUGUUAAAUUGUCAUUUUCACUUCACAGUGAUAUACUAUCUUUUUAAUCAUUUAUUAGAAUUCAAAUAUAUUGA